GGCCACAACCUGGACCGAGUGUUUACAACUAAUUGAUCACAACUAGUUACAGAUUUAUUUCUUUCUUCUCCCCUCCCACUGAUUCCCUUGACUAGCCUUAA
Molecule: small RNA, 101 nt
Filed under: Saimiri boliviensis boliviensis (Bolivian squirrel monkey)
Lineage: Eukaryota; Metazoa; Chordata; Mammalia; Primates; Cebidae
Description: Y RNA (ENSSBOG00000007049.1)
Source: RNAcentral